GAGCAAGGGCGCUGAUAAAAAUGGCGUAACUUGCAUUGAAGGUUGGCGAAAACAAUUAGAAUGCAAUUCUCCGUGCCUGUCAAGUUGAUUUAUAUCGUUUUGUUAAGGCCUCGAACAAGUUGCUACAUU
This is a small nucleolar RNA of Lupinus angustifolius (narrow-leaved blue lupine), 129 nucleotides long. NCBI's taxonomy places the organism in Eukaryota, Viridiplantae, Streptophyta, Magnoliopsida, Fabales, Fabaceae. The record is from Rfam.